GACGAACGCUGGCGGCGUGCUUAACACAUGCAAGUCGAACGCUGAAGCUUGGUGCUUGCACUGGGUGGAUGAGUGGCGAACGGGUGAGUAAUACGUGAGUAACCUGCCCUUGACUCUGGGAUAAGCCUGGGAAACUGGGUCUAAUACUGGAUACGACAUGCCACUGCAUGGUGGUGUGUGGAAAGGGUUUUACUGGUUUUGGAUGGGCUCACGGCCUAUCAGCUUGUUGGUGGGGUAAUGGCCUACCAAGGCGACGACGGGUAGCCGGCCUGAGAGGGUGACGGGGCACACUGGGACAGGGACGCGGCCGGGAGGGCUGCGGGAGGCAGGAGCGGGGGAUGGUGGACGAUGGGCGGAGGGAUGAAGCAGGGACGCCGCGUGAGGGAGGGAGGCCUUCGGGUAGGAAACCACGUGCAGCACGAAAGAAGCGGGAGUGAGGGUACGGGAAGAAGAGGCGAGGGCUAAUUACGU
RNAcentral lists this ribosomal RNA (471 nucleotides) under uncultured bacterium. Its description in RNAcentral is "partial 16S ribosomal RNA". It matches the Rfam family "Bacterial small subunit ribosomal RNA", at positions 28 to 506 of the family's 1533-position model. The record is from RNAcentral.